RNAcentral lists this long non-coding RNA (1287 nucleotides) under Triticum aestivum (bread wheat). Its description in RNAcentral is "long non-coding RNA (TAES_LNC013033)". The record is from RNAcentral. Lineage: Eukaryota; Viridiplantae; Streptophyta; Magnoliopsida; Poales; Poaceae.
GACAUCGCCGCCAUCCUCGCCGCACGCCCGGACCUCCGCGAGUUCAGCGGCCGGCUGGCGUCCACGGGCCUGGCGUACGACAUCGACCAGCGCAAUACCUCCCUCACGGUCCUCACCGUCGACAACGCCGGCAUGGCCCUGCUCAAGGCGCACCAGGAUGGCAGUAGUGGAAGAGAGGAGAAGGGUCGAUGCGGUGCAGCGUGUACCAGGGGGAGGGCGUGUGCAAGUAGUUGUCGACGACCAGAUAGAGGAACCGCCGGCCGAACCGCGUAGCCGUCGUCGUCCGCCGGCUAGAUACAAAUCCGAUUUGCACGGCCUCGAUCGUCUUCUUGUGCACGUGUAGUUUUUCCUCUUACGAUGCCAAAGGGAUUCUUCAACACAAUAGCUGCGUACUUGAGAUUUUUUUUAUCUCUCUCUUAAUCGAAACUAUGAGGGUGUUUGUUUAUAGGGAUUUAUUGGUUUAGGGACUUAAAAAAGUCCCUAUAAAUCCCAUCUAAACCAAACAGGAUGGACUUAUAAAAACUUAAAGUGAGCAUUUGGGACUUAAUGAAAUAAGACUCUUAAGAAGAGUCUUAUAGAGACUUAUAGUUGUAAUAUGGUCUUUUAGUCCAUGUUAAGUCCUAUGAACCAAAUAGAUAGGAAUUUUUUAGGGACUUGGGACUUAUAAGUUGGGACUAAAAAAAGUCCUAGACUUAUGAACCAAACAGGGCCUAACCCACGUGAGAUCGUAACUAAAUCGGUACUUGAUCACAGUCUAAAGCUAAGUAAACACGACACUAAGCUUGUACUGGACUCGUGUGUCAAGCCAGAGCUAGCCGCCGCCAUUUGCUAUAAAAGCAGGGGUACGGUGCACCCACGGUUCAGAUCAUCCCUCGCCUCUUUCACACCCCCAAAGUGUAGCACACCAUGGCAUUCCUCACCGCCAAGCGUUCGUCCGCCGCGCUCCUCCUGCUCGGCCUGUCCGUGUCCCUGGCGGCGUGCGGCGUCGCCGCCCACGACAUCGCCGCCAUCCUCGCCGCACGCCCGGACCUCCGCGAGUUCAGCGGUCGCCUGGCCUCCACGGGCCUGGCGUACGACAUCGACCAGCGCAACGCCUCCCUCACGGUCCUCGCCGUCGACAACGCCGGCAUGGCCCUGCUCAAGGCGCGCCGCCUGCCGCGCGCGACGGUCCGGCGCCACCUCUCGCUCCACGUCCUCCUCGACUACUACGACCAGGCCAGGCUGCAGAGCCUCCCGCGCGGCAGCUCCGAGGUCGUGUCCACCCUGCUCCCGGCAUCCUCCCGCCCC